This 220-nucleotide unclassified non-coding RNA is filed under the name Hevea brasiliensis (rubber tree). Lineage: Eukaryota; Viridiplantae; Streptophyta; Magnoliopsida; Malpighiales; Euphorbiaceae. The record is from RNAcentral.
UUUUUUUUUUUUUUUUUGGUUAACAAGUCUUUAUGAUCUUAAGUUCCUAUUGAAAGUAUAUUGUUCUUCUUUACGUGCAUUUGCAUAUCCAUUAUCUCUUUAUCAACCAUCAAUUGUCAGAACAUUUUUUGAUGAUUAUGUAAUUGUUGAAAUGGGUUUGUUAAAAUUUGAUGCUGAUAUUUUCAUUUAAAUAUUGAGUUCUUUUUUUUUUUUUAAUUGA